RNAcentral lists this long non-coding RNA (1880 nucleotides) under Nicotiana benthamiana. RNAcentral describes it as "long non-coding RNA (NBEN_LNC038221)". Lineage: Eukaryota; Viridiplantae; Streptophyta; Magnoliopsida; Solanales; Solanaceae. The record is from RNAcentral.
AAGACUAAACCCUAGUUCACCCAAACCUUUCCAAACCCAUCCAACUUCCAACCAAACAACCACUACAGUUCACUCAAUUCGUAUCUCUUACCAAUUACCCUAGAAACCCCGCCAAAAUUAGUCAAUUGUAGAUCCUAGAGUCCAGAAGAAACCCUAGUUCAAUCUUGCAAAAAUUUUUGGCGUGUUUUGUUCGUCUUUGGUCGAGACUCGUGUGAAUUGAUUGCUUUUGAUAAGAGCAAUCAUUUUGCAUUAGCUUCGACCCAUUUCGAAGUCACCGCUGAAGCGUGGCCAGGUCGCACCAUUCUUUGUUCACAGUACCCUUCCUCUUUCUUUUCUUGUUCCCGUUUUGUUUUUGUUUUUGUUUCUAAUUUCUUCUUCAGUUGUUUGAGUCAAUUUCUGAUUAACUACUUGUUUGAAUGUGCUUUGAGUAUUCAAUUGUUCAAAUUAAUUUUAUUGGCUAUUCGUUUAAGAUAAUUUGAACAUGUUACUUGUUUGAAGUUAGGCUGGAUUAUUUGUUUGAGUAAUGUAGUUUCAUUAUUUGGAUUGGUUCUUAUUAUUCACUAGGUCAAAUUAUUUUAGAUAUUUUAAAAUCAGUAUCUCUGUUUGGUCAGUCCUGUAAGCUCCAUGAUUAGUAGAUUUAAAUCAACUAAUUGACGACUGAAUUUGCAUAUCUUUCAUGUUUUUUGAACUUAGUUGAUUAAGUUGCUAAUUAAUUACAUGAAUGGUCAAAUGAUUUGGGUUAAGUUGUGGCAUUUGUUUUACUUUGGCUUGGUCUUGGUUUCGUCCUGGACCAUCUGGCCAUGUUUUGGGUGUUUAUUGGUCCAUUUGGCCAUGGUAAUUGGCCCAGACUUAAGAGGGGUUUAACCAGAUAAUCAAAAUUUAGGUAAAAUUACAAUAAGCAAAGGUUAGAAGGGUAAAUUAGGGGUUUUAAAUGAGGAAAUAUGAGAAUGUUCUAGUAUAUGGCAGUUGUCCCCAUUCGUAGCAUAAAAAUGCUGGUAAUGGAGAAGAAAAGGACAUAUAACUGUAUAAAAGAUGUUAUACUAUUCUAUAGUUUCAUAAUUAGGUUAGAAUAUUCCACUUUAAUGCCAUUUUUGUACACUUUAUAAAAGGGAAUAACAUUGACUCAAACAUAGAGAUUCAGCAUCAUAUUUUGCCUAAAAGGUUCUGAAAGAUACAUCAGAAAUUUAGAGCCUAAAAGAAAUACUCAAAGUUUCAGCAUUGUUUGGUUGAAAAUUGGUUAGAAUCGUUUUCCUUGGUUUUUCUCUGUUAGUAAGAACCUCAAAGUUUUCGAAGGACUUCAGGUUUUCUAGGUUUAAGAUUGGCCCAAAAAGCUGAAUGUUGCUGUUUGAGCUGCUGAUUUACUCAUACUUCUGUGCUUGCUGAACUUCUCAUUCCCAUUGCAAUAUCUAGAUACUUCUUGGACUCUACAUGAUCUUUAAAGUGCAAGCCUGUCGUUCUGUUGGAAAUAUGUAGCUAAAAAUUGAAGAUCUAAUGAAAUGCUCCCCUUUUUAUUUUAUUCCCAUAUUUUCUCCUAAGUUCUUUAAGUUCCUUUAUUAGUUUUAGUCUUGGUAUUCAUGUGGUUUGGAUAUGUUUGAUGGCAAUUUGUCUAGUAGAAAAUGUUACAUGUGAAGGUCUACUAGUUUGGUUGUUAUGAAAUAUGUAGAACUUCAAGUCAGUAUAGGUUUCUAAUAGUUUGUUCGUAAUAAAGGAUGUUGGCUCAUGUAUGUUUGAAACGCAGUACUUAGCAUAUAUAUAUAUUUUCAAAAUUGUAACUUUGAUAGAACAAGUGUGUAUGUAGUAGUAUAGCUUUAUGAGUAGUUUCAGUUCAAGUUCAUGUUGUUAACAUUAGUAGCAAUAUAAUGAUUGUAAGGUUUAUAGCA